RNAcentral lists this ribosomal RNA (253 nucleotides) under uncultured bacterium. Its description in RNAcentral is "partial 16S ribosomal RNA". It matches the Rfam family "Bacterial small subunit ribosomal RNA", at positions 524 to 776 of the family's 1533-position model. The record is from RNAcentral.
UACGUAGGGUGCAAGCGUUGUCCGGAAUUAUUGGGCGUAAAGCGCGCGUAGGCGGAUCAGGAAGUUGGGGGUGAAAUCCCGGGGCUCAACCCCGGAAUGGCCUUCAAAACUCCUGGUCUUGAGUUCGAGAGAGGUGAGUGGAAUUCCGAGUGUAGAGGUGAAAUUCGUAGAUAUUCGGAGGAACACCAGUGGCGAAGGCGGCUCACUGGCUCGACACUGACGCUGAGGUGCGAAAGCGUGGGGAGCAAACAGG